ACAUGCAAGUCGAACGAAGUAGCAAUACUUAGUGGCAGACGGGUGAGUAACAUGUAGGUAUCUACCCUAUGGCCUGGAAUAACACGAGGAAACUUGUGCUAAUACUGGAUAAGUCUUUACGGAGAAAGCUUUAUGCACCAUUGGAUGAGCCUGCACUUGAUUAGUUUGUUGGUGGGGUAAUGGCCUACCAAGACUGUGAUCAAUAGCUGAUUUGAGAGGAUGAUCAGCCACAUUGGGACUGAGACACGGCCCAAACUCCUACGGGAGGCAGCAGUGGGGAAUCUUGCACAAUGGAGGAAACUCUGAUGCAGCGAUGCCGCGUGAGUGAAGAAGGCCUUUGGGUUGUAAAGCUCUUUCGUCGGGGAAGAAAAUGACUGUACCCGAAUAAGAAGGUCCGGCUAACUUCGUGCCAGCAGCCGCGGUAAUACGAAGGGACCUAGCGUAGUUCGGAAUUACUGGGCUUAAAGAGUUCGUAGGUGGUUGAAAAAGUUGGUGGUGAAAUCCCAGAGCUUAACUCUGGAACUGCCAUCAAAACUUUUCAGCUAGAGUAUGAUAGAGGAAAGCAGAAUUUCUAGUGUAGAGGUGAAAUUCGUAGAUAUUAGAAAGAAUACCAAUUGCGAAGGCAGCUUUCUGGAUCAUUACUGACACUGAGGAACGAAAGCAUGGGUAGCGAAGAGGAUUAGAUACCCUCGUAGUCCAUGCCGUAAACGAUGUGUGUUAGACGUUGGAAAUUUAUUUUCAGUGUCGCAGUGAAAGCGAUAAACACACCGCCUGGGG
RNAcentral lists this ribosomal RNA (777 nucleotides) under uncultured Pelagibacteraceae bacterium. RNAcentral's name for it is "bacterial SSU rRNA". It matches the Rfam family "Bacterial small subunit ribosomal RNA", at positions 53 to 878 of the family's 1533-position model. Lineage: Bacteria; Pseudomonadati; Pseudomonadota; Alphaproteobacteria; Candidatus Pelagibacterales; Candidatus Pelagibacteraceae. The record is from RNAcentral.